CUCUUCGGGGAUGAUUAAACCGGCGCACGGGUGAGUAACACGUGAGUGACCUGCCUUUUAGACUGGAACAACUUACCGAAAGGUGAGCUAAUGCCGGAUGAGUUAUAUAAGUGCAUGUUUAUAUAGGAAAAGUUGGGGAGACCUGACGCUGAAAGAUGGACUCGCGUCCCAUUAGCUAGUUGGUAGGGUAAUGGCCUACCAAGGCGACGAUGGGUAGCCGGCCUGAGAGGGUGGCCGGCCACACUGGGACUGAGACACGGCCCAGACUCCUACGGGAGGCAGCAGUGGGGAAUUUUGCGCAAUGCUCGUAAGAGUGACGCAGCGACGCCGCGUGAAUGACGGAGGCCUUCGGGUCGUAAAGUUCUUUCGACAGGGAAGAAAAUGCCUAUAAGUAACUGUGUAUGUAUUGACGGUACCUGUAUAAGCAGCCCCGGCUAACUCCGUGCCAGCAGCCGCGGUAAUACGGAGGGGGCGAGCGUUGUUCGGAGUGACUGGGCGUAAAGAGCACGUAGGCGGUGUUGUAAGUCAUUAGUCAAAGACUAGAGCUCAACUUUAGUAAGGCUAGUGAUACUAUAAUACUAGAGUAUCAGAGAGGAUUGCAGAAUUCCUGGUGUAGCGGUGAAAUGCGUAGAUAUCAGGAGGAAUACCGUUAGCGAAGGCGGCAAUCUGGCUGGAAACUGACGCUGAGGUGCGAAAGCGUGGGUAGCAAACAGGAUUAGAUACCCUGGUAGUCCACGCUGUAAACGAUGGAUGCUAGGUGU
RNAcentral lists this ribosomal RNA (761 nucleotides) under uncultured bacterium. RNAcentral describes it as "bacterial SSU rRNA". It matches the Rfam family "Bacterial small subunit ribosomal RNA", at positions 76 to 823 of the family's 1533-position model. The record is from RNAcentral.